Molecule: ribosomal RNA, 416 nt
Filed under: uncultured bacterium
Lineage: Bacteria
Description: partial 16S ribosomal RNA
Rfam family: Bacterial small subunit ribosomal RNA
Source: RNAcentral
UGGGGAAUUUUGGACAAUGGGGGCAACCCUGAUCCAGCAAUGCCGCGUGUGUGAAGAAGGCCUUCGGGUUGUAAAGCACUUUUGUCCGGAAAGAAAACGUCGUGGUUAAUACCCGUGGCGGCUGACGGUACCGGAAGAAUAAGCACCGGCUAACUACGUGCCAGCAGCCGCGGUAAUACGUAGGGUGCAAGCGUUAAUCGGAAUUACUGGGCGUAAAGCGUGCGCAGGCGGUUCCGCUAAGACAGAUGUGAAAUCCCCGGGCUUAACCUGGGAACUGCAUUUGUGACUGGCGGGCUAGAGUAUGGCAGAGGGGGGUAGAAUUCCACGUGUAGCAGUGAAAUGCGUAGAGAUGUGGAGGAAUACCGAUGGCGAAGGCAGCCCCCUGGGCCAAUACUGACGCUCAUGCACGAAAGCGU